RNAcentral lists this long non-coding RNA (837 nucleotides) under Homo sapiens (human). RNAcentral's name for it is "HSALNT0322770". Lineage: Eukaryota; Metazoa; Chordata; Mammalia; Primates; Hominidae. The record is from RNAcentral.
AGAAACUGAAAGCGAAGAGCAGAACGUGAGGAGUGCAGCUGUGAGAGAUGAAGUUAAAAGACAGAUGAAUCAGAAAAGCCUAGUAAUCCAUGAACAUGAAGAAUUUUACUAAAAUGAGGGGAAGAUGGGUGCAGAGGAAGGGGAAAGUCAGUGAUUGGGAACCUGUGUUACGACUAUUGGGAAAGAGUCUAAGUUGGUGAAGGGUCUGAGAUUACCACACUUUCAAGAUGACAAGUCGGCCUGCCACACAUUCAAGUAUGCUGGCAGAAGGCUCAAGAGUCCUGGAUCCUGGAUGAAUGAGCUAUGACGAUGUGGAUGGCUGGAUGUCAGGAGAAGAUGAUGUCAGUGUUUGGGGAUCCUCAAUAGUUGAAGGUUUUUGUUUUGUUUUGUUUUGUUUUUGCCAAAAACUUUUGGAAGAGCAUUGUAAUAGAAUGUUAUUGUCUCUUUCUUUUUAACUCAUUAAAGUGUUGCCACAGAUGUUGUAAAAAAAAAAAAAAAAAAAAAAAAAAAAAAGAGUCCUGGAUCAGAGCCAAAGGAUUUUACCACUCAUAGAACAGCAAGCAGCCUAAGCAUGAUGUUGGUGUCAUUUCCCCUUGUCCCCAAGUCAAGCAGGUGAUGCAGAUGGGCUCGAAUGGAUGCCUGCAGAAGCAGUGGACUGCAUUCCAGGAAAGGAAUACUGAGCUUAGGGAACCUGAAUCUUUUAUAAGAGGCAGAAAGCAAAGCUGCCCUUUGUUCCAGAGUUGAGAACAAAAGGCAGUCAGUGCCUCUGCUGACAAAAUGUAUAGAAAUAUGAGACACAGAGAGAACUGUCGCCCAACAGAGGAACUGUCCCGCAGA